RNAcentral lists this ribosomal RNA (253 nucleotides) under uncultured bacterium. RNAcentral's name for it is "partial 16S ribosomal RNA". It matches the Rfam family "Bacterial small subunit ribosomal RNA", at positions 524 to 776 of the family's 1533-position model. The record is from RNAcentral.
UACGUAGCGGGCAAGCGUUGUUCGGAAUUACUGGGCGUAAAGCGCACGUAGGCGGCGAUUCAAGUCAGAGGUGAAAGCCCGGGGCUCAACCCCGGAACUGCCUUUGAAACUAGAUUGCUAGAAUCCUGGAGAGGUGAGUGGAAUUCCGAGUGUAGAGGUGAAAUUCGUAGAUAUUCGGAAGAACACCAGUGGCGAAGGCGACUCACUGGACAGGUAUUGACGCUGAGGUGCGAAAGCGUGGGGAGCAAACAGG